AUGCAGCGCUUGACAGUCCAGCCAGACUGAGCCACCAACACCAGGGGUCCUGUGACCCAAACGGACUUUGCAAGAACAAUUCUUCACAGACUUGAGGCACACACUGAAGGUGGACCCUGUAUUCUUCACAGCCUUGGGGUGCAGACUAAGGGAGCAGCUGGAAGGCCUGAGAAGACUCAACUGCAAGGUAUUUGUUGUGGCAGGAAGAAAGCUGACUGACGGCCUCAGCUCUGGUGAUGGAAUCUCCGCUGCAAUAACUCAAUGGCAUGAGGAACGAAGAGACUAAGCUGAACCUUAGGACUUAGAGCAUGCGAGCUUGAAAGUCUCAAGAGUGUGAAUGCACUGUGCGGAAGAGGUGGCCUAGCUGCAAAUUACACAUCUACUGGUGGGCUCAGUCUGACAAAGGACUCAGGACUUAGAAAAAAGGGACAAAAGAUAAUGAGCAGAAAGCUCUCCAGCAACCACAUGGCCGGCCAGUAAGAAUAGGAGCGAAGCCUCAUUCGCCACCAGGGGAGUGAACUCAAAGCCUGCGGAGAGGUCCCCUUCUACUAGGAUGGUGCAAUUCCAAAAGUUCUAGAAGUGUCGGUGAGGAAGAAGGGUCUCAACCCUGCUCCUGCUCCUCAGUGAAUACUGAUAGCAACUGGAGCGGUUCAUUGCCACAGGCCACCAUGCUGGGGUUUUCUAUAUACCCUCCUUGUGAAGCCAGCAGCAACGACGAGCACACUAAAGACACCUCCGCUUUGUCUCCCACUACACCAACAAUAACUGUGCUUUGUGGGAGACCUGAACAGUGCAUCUAAGCUGUCAAGGAUUUCUAUGGUCUCUGAUGGUGUCAUGGAGUUUGUCCAGGAAAUAGGAAAUGAGAGGCUGUGGAUUCAAUUCUGUGGACAGAAAUUCAUUCUGUGGAUAAGGUUUGAGAUCAAGGAAGACCCCCAGAAAAAUCUCUGAUGAGAAUGGAUGGCCCAGAUGCACCAACGUUUCAGAGCAUCUCUGUUGCAGUUUCUUCUGAGUUCUGCAUCCAGAACAGCUUCAAGGCUGCUGGCUGAGAUAAUCCAGCCUCAAAGAAUACUCCAGUCAGGACUUGGGCUUGACCAUAAUCCUAAAUUUUCUUUGGGUCCCCAUAAGAUUACCAGCACCCCCAAUCAGCAGGAAGUAGCCUAGAAAACUAUGCCCACAUUCCCAAAAAAUAUAGAUUAUAGGUAUUUGUCAUUGUUUGGGGGGGGUUGGUUACAAGUAAUUGUAAUGGUCAUGAAAAAAAGCUAAAUAAAUGAAAUUAGAUUCAAGGUUCAUAUUUUGAAAAAAAGGGGAUAUAGAUAUGAUAUGAUAAAAGGGUAAAUUAUUGAACCUACUCUGAAAAGAAAAAUGGGAAGAUAUAGAUAAGAUAAAAAGGUAGAUUCUACUUUUAAAGCAACUGCUAGGGCUGGAGAGAUGGCUCAGAGGUUAAGAGCACUGGCUGCUCUUCCAGAGGUCCUGAGUUCAAUUCCCAGCAACAACAUGGUGGC
Molecule: long non-coding RNA, 1502 nt
Organism: Alexandromys fortis (reed vole)
Lineage: Eukaryota; Metazoa; Chordata; Mammalia; Rodentia; Cricetidae
Exons: 4
Source: RefSeq, a predicted model, not a curated record